GCUUAAAUAGUUUAUCAAAACAUCAACUUGUGGCGUUGAAGAUAUCAAAUUGAUUUUAGGUA
RNAcentral lists this transfer RNA (62 nucleotides) under Saccostrea mordax (small rock oyster). RNAcentral describes it as "tRNA-His". Lineage: Eukaryota; Metazoa; Mollusca; Bivalvia; Ostreida; Ostreidae. The record is from RNAcentral.